AGGAACUUAGGAUCAAUAUAAACCAGAAGCCUUCAAAGCCUCUAAAAAGAGUAGAAUCUCUUAGCUCCU
Molecule: transfer RNA, 69 nt
Filed under: Furcifer polleni
Lineage: Eukaryota; Metazoa; Chordata; Lepidosauria; Squamata; Chamaeleonidae
Description: partial tRNA-Trp
Source: RNAcentral